RNAcentral lists this transfer RNA (72 nucleotides) under Camelus bactrianus (Bactrian camel). It matches the Rfam family "tRNA". Rfam says of the family: Transfer RNA (tRNA) molecules are approximately 80 nucleotides in length. Their secondary structure includes four short double-helical elements and three loops (D, anti-codon, and T loops). Further hydrogen bonds mediate the characteristic L-shaped molecular structure. tRNAs have two regions of fundamental functional importance: the anti-codon, which is responsible for specific mRNA codon recognition, and the 3' end, to which the tRNAs corresponding amino acid is attached (by aminoacyl-tRNA synthetases). tRNAs cope with the degeneracy of the genetic code in two manners: having more than one tRNA (with a specific anti-codon) for a particular amino acid; and 'wobble' base-pairing, i.e. permitting non-standard base-pairing at the 3rd anti-codon position. Lineage: Eukaryota; Metazoa; Chordata; Mammalia; Artiodactyla; Camelidae. The record is from Rfam by way of RNAcentral. RNAcentral also lists the same sequence under 2 other names.
GAGAGUAUAGUUCAGUGGUAGAGUGUGUGCUUAGCAUGCAUAAGGUCCUGGGUUCAAUCCCCACUACCUCCA